Syngnathus acus (greater pipefish) is the source of this 349-nucleotide long non-coding RNA. RefSeq lists it as uncharacterized. The transcript is spliced from 2 exons. The record is from RefSeq and is a predicted model, not a curated record. Lineage: Eukaryota; Metazoa; Chordata; Actinopteri; Syngnathiformes; Syngnathidae.
AGCAGAGUGCAGAGGGCCCAGGUGUGACUCAUCAGGCUCGUUAAGAAGUGCUCUUAAGGAGCAUGCUGUCGACUGCUCGUCGCCUGAGUGUCCCUACCAGUGUGAUCAUCUCCACGGUUGUGCCUCUAGCUCCUCGAUCUUGCUCCUUGAUCUUGCUCCUAGUUCUCGCCUUGCUCAUCCACGCCACGCUCUUCAGAUUCCUCUGAUUACUUCCACCGAUCACCACCAAGAUCCACCCCGUCCUGGCUGAACUCCUCACGCCCCACCACUGCUGCCCCGCUCCUGGCUCCGAUCAUUCCGCUCUACCUCACCGCAGCUCCUCCAAUAAACACUCCUAACUCAUUCUGGA